GAUGAACGCUGGCGGCGUGCCUAAUACAUGCAAGUCGAGCGAACGGACGAGAAGCUUGCUUCUCUGAUGUUAUCGGCGGACGGGUGAGUAACACGUGGAUAACCUACCUAUAAGACUGGGAUAACUUCGGGAAACCGGAGCUAAUACCGGAUAAUAUUUUGAACCGCAUGGUUCAAAAGUGAAAGACGGUCUUGCUGUCACUUAUAGACGGAUCCGCGCUGCAUUAGCUAGUUGGUAAGGUAACGGCUUACCAAGGCAACGAUGCAUAGCCGACCUGAGAGGGUGAUCGGCCACACUGGAACUGAGACACGGUCCAGACUCCUACGGGAGGCAGCAGUAGGGAAUCUUCCGCAAUGGGCGAAAGCCUGACGGAGCAACGCCGCGUGAGUGAUGAAGGUCUUCGGAUCGUAAAACUCUGUUAUUAGGGAAGAACAUAUGUGUAAGUAACUGUGCACAUCUUGACGGUACCUAAUCAGAAAGCCACGGCUAACUACGUG
RNAcentral lists this ribosomal RNA (497 nucleotides) under uncultured bacterium. RNAcentral describes it as "partial 16S ribosomal RNA". It matches the Rfam family "Bacterial small subunit ribosomal RNA", at positions 28 to 507 of the family's 1533-position model. The record is from RNAcentral.